This 959-nucleotide long non-coding RNA is filed under the name Mastacembelus armatus (zig-zag eel). Its description in RNAcentral is "lncRNA (ENSMAMG00000027447.1)". Lineage: Eukaryota; Metazoa; Chordata; Actinopteri; Synbranchiformes; Mastacembelidae. The record is from RNAcentral.
GUCUUCUUUUUUUGGCCUGCCUCUUCUUUUAAAUUGUUUCUUCUUCUUUCCCCCUCCCCGCUUUGACUUUUAGCCCUGGGCUAGUGCACACAUGGUGAGUGCACACAUGCAGACACAUGCACAAACAGCAACAAAACAGAGCUGCACACCCACAUUUACUGCUCUUCUGCAUUUUCUGUUGAUUCCUGCACUCACUUUUUCAGCUGUCUAAGUCAGGACCAAGACGUCCCAUCUGCAGAUAGGUGUUCAGAGGACAGGGACAGGACACACAGCAGCACCAUAGACAUGUCAGACUCAGAGACCACCACUGCCCCCGCCGAGGCCCCCGUCCCCGCUGCAUGUGCCAACAUAAAGGCUAACCUGGAUAAAUGAUGUGAAGAACAGUUGGUCAUCACAACACUUAGAGUGACAGUGAGCAUUGCAGGGAGAUCUUACAGCCAUUGGUCCAGUCGUGUAUUUUCAAGAUCUCAACAUUCCUACAUGAAGGGAUAUUAUUUUUAUUAUUAUUAUUAUUAUUAUUAUUAUUAUAAGAUACAAGAAUCCUGAGCAAUCAAGUGAUUAUUUGAAUCAUCUGUGAUGUGCUUUAAUUAUACCCAAUGAGCUGCCCAAUGGCUGCAACCAUCCAAACUUAGAACAAAAAGUGCUCUAGCCUAUGAGUUGAUAUAACCUUGCAUAGGUCUAACAGAGACAGCAGCAUCCUAAAGUGCGCCAUGCUAAAAUGGAGUCUUUUCAGAGGAGGCUGUGGUUAGCAAUGAAAACUGCCAGCAGAGAAUGAAGUUGAAAUGUGACUGAAUUCGACAUCUAGGCAGGGAGCGAGGGGUGGGGGGUUAUGAAAACUUGGGGUUCCCUGUGUGGUGAAGAGAGAUUUGGAGCUUAAUGAUGUGUGGCAGGAGGUAAAUGCUGGAUGCUGAUCCGUAUGCAUGGAUGAAGACUGGGAAUCUGCUUGCGUCACUAGCCUU